This 144-nucleotide unclassified non-coding RNA is filed under the name Chytridiomycota sp. Its description in RNAcentral is "partial contains small subunit ribosomal RNA, internal transcribed spacer 1, and 5.8S ribosomal RNA". The stretch from base 1 to 47 matches the Rfam family "Eukaryotic small subunit ribosomal RNA", at positions 1785 to 1831 of the family's 1831-position model. Lineage: Eukaryota; Fungi; Chytridiomycota. The record is from RNAcentral.
AAAGUCGUAACAAGGUUUCCGUAGGUGAACCUGCGGAAGGAUCAUCACUGAAUGUGGUUUUUCUUUUUCUGUGGAGCGUGAUUUUAUUAUUUUUCUUACAUAACCAAUGAGAAACAACUUUUAACAAUGGAUCUCUUGGCUCUC